Clupea harengus (Atlantic herring) is the source of this 703-nucleotide long non-coding RNA. The record is from Ensembl. NCBI's taxonomy places the organism in Eukaryota, Metazoa, Chordata, Actinopteri, Clupeiformes, Clupeidae.
AUGGUGUACUUUCUCUACGGCAUCCUUUUCAUUACCCACCUAAACUAUCUGUCUCAGUUCACAAAAGCCCAAGAUCUGUCUCAGUUCACAAAAGCCCAAGGGUUUCCCCCCACACUGAGGGCGUCCUCGUACAUCAUGAGUGAGAGAGACUCAGUUGAGCUGAGCUGUGACUUAUCUCAGUCUCCUCCUGUGUCUCAGUGUGAUUUCUCCUUAGUUGAGAAAGAGGCACAUAAGCACAGAGCCCCCUCAUGCCAGCUGUCCCUCACAGGGGAGGAACUGAUGAGAUGGUCAGGCCUGGUCAGUUUACCUGCUGUGGUCAAAGUGAAAUGUUCGUCAGCUGAUGAACCGUCACAACAUUCAGACACAGUUUCACUCAUUGUUAAAGGAGCAGCUUCUGUUCCUCCAAAAGCCCACCUGAUGAUCUCCCCUGCAGUCAUCAGAGAGAGUGACACACUUCAGAUGACUUGUGAAGUACCUCAGUCUCAGUCUGCGUCUCUGUGUGUAUUCUACCUGGAUGGGAUAGAGGCUCCUCCAUACAGUCACCCAUCAUGUCAGAUCUCCCUCACUGGUGUUCAGCUCCUGCAGUGGACACGUCAGAGUUCCCCUCUAGAGGCUAAAGUGGGGUGUUAUUAUACAGUAACAUCACUAGGGCAGCAAAUCCAACAUUCUGCUCACUCUGACCUUGUUUCAGUGACUGUUCUAG